GGCUACACAUGCAAGUCGAGCGGUAACAGAUCCAGCUUGCUGGAUGCUGACGAGCGGCGGACGGGUGAGUAAUGCAUAGGAAUCUGCCCGAUAGUGGGGGAUAACCUGGGGAAACCCAGGCUAAUACCGCAUACGUCCUACGGGAGAAAGGGGGCUCCGGCUCCCGCUAUGGGAUGAGCCUAUGUCGGAUUAGCUAGUUGGUGAGGUAACGGCUCACCAAGGCCACGAUCCGUAGCUGGUCUGAGAGGAUGAUCAGCCACAUCGGGACUGAGACACGGCCCGAACUCCUACGGGAGGCAGCAGUGGGGAAUAUUGGACAAUGGGGGCAACCCUGAUCCAGCCAUGCCGCGUGUGUGAAGAAGGCCCUCGGGUUGUAAAGCACUUUCAGCGAGGAAGAACGCCUAGCGGUUAAUACCCGCUAGGAAAGACAUCACUCGCAGAAGAAGCACCGGCUAACUCCGUGCCAGCAGCCGCGGUAAUACGGAGGGUGCAAGCGUUAAUCGGAAUUACUGGGCGUAAAGCGCGCGUAGGUGGCUUGAUAAGCCGGUUGUGAAAGCCCCGGGCUCAACCUGGGAACGGCAUCCGGAACUGUCAAGCUAGAGUGCAGGAGAGGAAGGUAGAAUUCCCGGUGUAGCGGUGAAAUGCGUAGAGAUCGGGAGGAAUACCAGUGGCGAAGGCGGCCUUCUGGACUGACACUGACACUGAGGUGCGAAAGCGUGGGUAGCAAACAGGAUUAGAUACCCUCGUAGUCCAUGCCGUAAACGAUGUGUGCUAGACGUUGGAAAUAUAUUUUUCAGUGUCGCAGCGAAAGCAUUAAGCACACCGCCUGGGGAGUACGACCGCAAGGUUAAAACUCAAAUGAAUUGACGGGGACCCGCACAAGCAGUGAGCAUGUGUUUAACUCGAAGAUACGCGCAGAACCUUACCACGCUGACAUGUCGUCGCGAGACUAGAGAUAGUCUUUUCAGUUGCUGACGAAACACAGUGCUGCAUGCUGUCGUCAGCUCGUGUCGUGAGAUGUGGUAGUCCCGCAACGAGCGCAACCACGGUUUUAGUUG
This 1058-nucleotide ribosomal RNA is filed under the name uncultured Halomonas sp. RNAcentral's name for it is "bacterial SSU rRNA". It matches the Rfam family "Bacterial small subunit ribosomal RNA", at positions 45 to 1117 of the family's 1533-position model. The record is from RNAcentral. Lineage: Bacteria; Pseudomonadati; Pseudomonadota; Gammaproteobacteria; Oceanospirillales; Halomonadaceae.